RNAcentral lists this ribosomal RNA (228 nucleotides) under uncultured Sphingomonadales bacterium. RNAcentral's name for it is "partial 16S ribosomal RNA". It matches the Rfam family "Bacterial small subunit ribosomal RNA", at positions 89 to 334 of the family's 1533-position model. Lineage: Bacteria; Pseudomonadati; Pseudomonadota; Alphaproteobacteria; Sphingomonadales. The record is from RNAcentral.
CCGUUAGUGGCGCACGGGUGCGUAACGCGUGGGAAUCUGCCCUUGGGUUCGGAAUAACAGUGAGAAAUUACUGCUAAUACCGGAUGAUGACUUCGGUCCAAAGAUUUAUCGCCCAAGGAUGAGCCCGCGUAAGAUUAGCUAGUUGGUGAGGUAAGGGCUCACCAAGGCGACGAUCUUUAGCUGGUCUGAGAGGAUGAUCAGCCACACUGGGACUGAGACACGGCCCAG